RNAcentral lists this long non-coding RNA (230 nucleotides) under Lupinus angustifolius (narrow-leaved blue lupine). RNAcentral describes it as "long non-coding RNA (LANG_LNC002418)". Lineage: Eukaryota; Viridiplantae; Streptophyta; Magnoliopsida; Fabales; Fabaceae. The record is from RNAcentral.
UGUUUCGGUUGUCGAAAAGGGCAUAAGUGGGUGUUCUGUCCAAGUCCCUGUCGCUUGGGCGAGAAAUUCUCGCCUGGGCGAGCACGGUCUCGCUUGGGCGAGGACUGGGCGAGUGGAAGUUUUAGGUUUUGGAACUCCUCGCCCGGACGCCAAAUCCUCGCUCGGGCGAGCAAGGGUCUCGCUUAGGCGAAAAAAACCCAGGAAUUUGAUGAAAUUCUGGACAUCCCUCG